ACUGCAGCAGCUGAAGCAGCCGCUCCCCAUACUGCAGCCGGAAGUACUCCGCCAGGUCCUCCUCUUCCAUGAUGCCCAGACUCAUGGUGGCAGUCACCUAACAGCCAGCCGAGGCGGCCUACUUUUCCGAGUGAAAUCUUUGGAGGAGCUACGUGAUGCCACCCUUGGAGAGGUCUGGUUGCACACUUCUGGAAUCACUGUUACACUUGCUGGCCUGUCAGAUCAGACUGGCCAGAUCUGUGCUGAAGGAAAAGAGAAAACAAACAGACCUUCCUUCUGCUCUUGUGAGCCUCACUGUCCGAACCCUCACUUCUGACUGCUUCCUGUGCCGAAAGAGCUGGGCAGCCAUUUUGCUGUGUCUCCAAGAAAAAAUAAAUUACUUUG
This is a long non-coding RNA of Meriones unguiculatus (Mongolian gerbil), 384 nucleotides long. RefSeq lists it as uncharacterized. The record is from RefSeq and is a predicted model, not a curated record. The transcript has 3 exons. NCBI's taxonomy places the organism in Eukaryota, Metazoa, Chordata, Mammalia, Rodentia, Muridae.